AUUGAACGCUGGCGGCAUGCCUUACACAUGCAAGUCGAACGGUAACAGGUCUUCGGAUGCUGACGAGUGGCGAACGGGUGCGUAAUACAUCGGAACGUGCCCGAUCGCGGGGGGAAACGAGGCGAAAGCUUUGCUCAUACCGCAUACGAUCUACGGAUGAAAGCGGGGGGUCUUCAGACCUCGCGCGGACGUAGCUGCCGCUGGCAGAUUAGGUAGUUGGUAGGAUAAAAGCUUACCAAGCCGACGAUCUGUAGCUGAUCUGAGAGGAUGAUCAGCCACACUGGGACUGAGACACGGCCCAGACUCCUACGGGAGGCAGCAGUGGGGAAUUUUGGACAAUGGGCGAAAGCCUGAUCCAGCCAUGCCGCGUGCAGGAUGAAGGCCUUCGGGUUGUAAACUGCUGUUGUACGGAACGAAAAGCCUCUUACUAAUAAAGAGGGGUCAUGACGGUACCGUAAGAAUAAGCACCGGCUAACUACGUG
Molecule: ribosomal RNA, 482 nt
Filed under: uncultured bacterium
Lineage: Bacteria
Description: partial 16S ribosomal RNA
Rfam family: Bacterial small subunit ribosomal RNA
Source: RNAcentral